This 433-nucleotide ribosomal RNA is filed under the name Capnocytophaga granulosa. RNAcentral's name for it is "bacterial SSU rRNA". It matches the Rfam family "Bacterial small subunit ribosomal RNA", at positions 28 to 465 of the family's 1533-position model. The record is from RNAcentral. Lineage: Bacteria; Pseudomonadati; Bacteroidota; Flavobacteriia; Flavobacteriales; Flavobacteriaceae.
GAUGAACGCUAGCGGCAGGCCUAACACAUGCAAGUCGAGGGAGAAGCCCUUCGGGGCAGAAACCGGCGCACGGGUGCGUAACGCGUAUGCAACCUACCUUUCACAGGGGGAUAGCCCGAAGAAAUUUGGAUUAAUACCCCAUAAUAUUAUUGGAUGGCAUCAUUUGAUAAUUAAAAUUACGAUGGUGAAAGAUGGGCAUGCGUCCUAUUAGCUAGUUGGAGUGGUAACGGCACCCCAAGGCUACGAUAGGUAGGGGUCCUGAGAGGGAGAUCCCCCACACUGGUACUGAGACAGGGACCAGACUCCUACGGGAGGCAGCAGUGAGGAAUAUUGGUCAAUGGUCGGAAGACUGAACCAGCCAUGCCGCGUGCAGGAAGAAUGCCUUAUGGGUUGUAAACUGCUUUUAUAUGGGAAGAAUAAGGAGUACGUGUAC